This 443-nucleotide ribosomal RNA is filed under the name uncultured bacterium. RNAcentral describes it as "SSU rRNA". It matches the Rfam family "Bacterial small subunit ribosomal RNA", at positions 26 to 523 of the family's 1533-position model. The record is from RNAcentral.
AGAACGAACGCUGGCGGCAGGCCUAACACAUGCAAGUCGAACGCUCUAGCAAUAGAGAGUGGCGCACGGGUGCGUAACGCGUGGGAAUCUACCCUUGACUGCGGAACAACGUUUGGAAACGAACGCUAAUACCGCAUAAUGUCUUCGGACCAAAGAUUUAUCGGUCAGGGAUGAGCCCGCGUUGGAUUAGCUAGUUGGUGAGGUAAUGGCUCACCAAGGCUCCGAUCCAUAGCUGGUCUGAGAGGAUGAUCAGCCACACUGGGACUGAGACACGGCCCAGACUCCUACGGGAGGCAGCAGUGAGGAAUAUUGGACAAUGGGGGCAACCCUGAUCCAGCCAUGCCGCGUGAGUGAUGAAGGCCUUCGGUUGUAAACUCUUUAGAUGUGACGAUGAUGACGUAACAUCAGAAAAGCUCGCUACUUCGCGCCAGCAGCCGCGGUAA